ACACUUUUAUUCUCUUCCUUGGAAGAAACAACAACAAUGACAACCUCCAUAACUAAUGCUUCUGGUCUAAAAAACCUUCUCCCUAAAGGACAUGUUUUCACCCACUACCAAUGAUCUCAACAAAUUUCUGGAUAGAAAGGACCUAUAGACAGAGAGAUGUACUUGCCGGAUUUUUUCAUCAACUGAAGAACAGGGGCAUCUGCUGCCACAGAGAGGAGAAGUUGCUCUUUUGCCUUUGGCCAUGGAUGUAUCAGGGUGGCUGUGUAUUCGCCUGGAGAGCCCACAGAUGCCACUGACACAGCAGCUGCUCUGACAAUAGCCCAUCAAUGGCUCCUGGAAAAACCUAGUAGACUGGCAGCUUUCAUUGCAAAUAACCAGGAAAUAAGAAGAUAGUGCAUUUUAUAUUUACAAGAGUGUUUCCUCUCCUGAAGCGUCCCCAGAGUUUCCACUCCAGGCCUGAGAUGAGUGAUUACCCAGCACAGAUUGUCUUAUUUAUUUGGAAGACUCUCCAGCUCAGUCCAGCUGCUUUUUCUUGGGACAGCAGACAGACCCUGGACAUGGUAUCCUUUUACGUUACAAUAUUUACAAAGUAGAAUAAAUCAAUGAGACCCAACAGG
This 617-nucleotide long non-coding RNA is filed under the name Homo sapiens (human). RNAcentral describes it as "HSALNT0391319". Lineage: Eukaryota; Metazoa; Chordata; Mammalia; Primates; Hominidae. The record is from RNAcentral.